GAGGGAGUAAUUUUUAUUUUGAGGCAAGCAAUAAAAGAGACAAGGAAGCAAAGUACAGUUGUGUGGUGGUGCCUCGGAAUGUUCGCUUUUCUGGUGUACAAAUGGCAAUAAAUGAUUGGAUGUCAAAAGACAAGAAAGUCUGAAAUGGACACAAUGCUCCCGCCGCACCGAAUUGCAGCACCCUUUUUCCUAAUUUUACAUACAAAAAUAAAGGGCUUUUACAUAAAGUGCACAACCACUAACAACGUUCCCACCAAACUUAAAACGCAGACCUAUUUGCCACGAAAACACGCCACCGCUUAACCGGGAUACCCCACCACCGGAAUUGACCAAUAUGCCCCUCACCCCCAACAUAUAAUUAGAAGCCUAAUCCAUUUUGACCAGAAAGAAAAUUGCUGACUCUAAACACAGACUUCCCAUUUUGGGUGAUUCUUGACCACUCCAAUCCAAUAACAUCAACAACUUCUAUUUCAAAUCGUAUUAAAAACAUUUUUUUUUGAGGAACGUAUUAAAAACAUUUAACUAGGAAGGAAGACGCAAGAAAAAUUGACGGAUCUGCCCCUGGCAAGAGAGGGUUAUUUCGGUCAAUUCGGGAUUUGAUCAAGGUGUGACGACGACAAGAAGCAUAAUAAUGAGGCAGGGGUGGUGGCGAGGUUAAACAAGUAGAGAGGAAUUCAAUCUUCGUGUAGGCGUCUGACCAUUCACGCGUUAAAAUUGAAAAAUCAAUUUUAACAAUGAUACCAAUUUUUAUCAAUAUCUAAAAAUCCAAAAAGAGAAGAGGAUAAAAUUGGAAUAGAUUAAUGAAUUGUUUUCGAAGACGCCAAAGAUGGAUCCAGAAGCGGAAAGGGCAAACCGGUGAAAGCGCCGGAGCCGGGAGGAGAUCAAAAUGACGAAAGUGCCCCAGGAGUCAGUUUCCAAAACUGAAAAAACGGUGACAGGUGACGCGGGGAAGAAGCCAACAAUGGAAUGAAAGUCUUUCUGACUUGUUCCAGAAGCGUGGCAGUAAAUAUCCGUAUUCCACAGGGGUAGUAAGGUAAAUUUACAUAGACCCACCGAAUGCCAACUGCCACGACACACUUUCCUCCUAGGAUAAUAUUGAAAGCGCAGCCCAUCGCCGCCG
RNAcentral lists this long non-coding RNA (1120 nucleotides) under Salvia miltiorrhiza (redroot sage). RNAcentral's name for it is "long non-coding RNA (SMIL_LNC001176)". The record is from RNAcentral. Lineage: Eukaryota; Viridiplantae; Streptophyta; Magnoliopsida; Lamiales; Lamiaceae.